Molecule: transfer RNA, 64 nt
Filed under: Cryptocercus sp. 3 ZQW-2021c
Lineage: Eukaryota; Metazoa; Arthropoda; Insecta; Blattodea; Cryptocercidae
Description: tRNA-His
Source: RNAcentral
ACUUAAAUAGUUUAAUUGAAAAUGUUGACUUGUGGUGUCAUUGAUAUAAGAUUUAUUUUAGGUC